CCCCGCUCCCCCUGGUUUUCUGCUCUCCCUCCCGAAACCCCCCCGAGCCGCUCCCGUCUCUCCCAUCGCGCAAACAACUCUAGGGUUCCUUGAGCCGCCGCCGCACCGGAGCUCCUCGACCAGCCCCACCUCAUGCCGCUCCACCCACCGCUUCUCCCUCCGCCCGCGCCGCUCUCUUCCCCGCCGGCGCUGCUCACCACGAGUUGGGAGGCCCCAGAUCGUCUCGAGCAAGUCAGCAGGGCGGUGGCCAGAUCCACCACGGCAACAUCUCGUCCAGAUGGGCCGCGCCGGGAGAGGUAGAUCGAGGCGGCGGGCACCGUGUGCGUCUUGUCUCUUGGGACGCCGCUCCGACCGGAUCCGGCGAGGAGGCAGCCUCCGUCUGCGGCAACGAGGGCAGCGGCCGGCUGCGCGAGAGGUCGAUCUGAUUGUGCCUCCAUGACGGCAUCGUGAUGCCCACCGCCGACGGCGCUGCGUCGCGACCAAAGGGGCACCCGGCCACGGCCGGGGACUCACUGCAGUUGAAGCACGCCAUCUCGCCACCAUGUAUGUUGUGUGUUCUUGUGCUGCAGGUCCUUGGGGUUGGGUGUUCUUGUCGCCACCAUGUUCAUGCAGGCACGAAUUGGACUGAGAAAUGCUAACAGAGGAGGAGAAGACCAUGCAAGUCCUUGGGGUUGGGUGCGGCAACUCGCGGCUCGAAGACAAUCUUUUGUGGUGGGGCGUCGCUGCCGGCGGCGGCACCUGCAUAGACCGUCUCGCUGGGAACGAAGAGAUGCUCCCCUGAUUUGGAGCUGUAGAAAGGAGGUGGUUGUAGACACAAAGUGGGGACACACAACUCCCAGACAUAAUAUUCUUUAUCUUGGCUCGUUGUUUGGGGAUGGACGCAUCAAUCUGAUCGCGCUCUCCUCCAUGCCAAACGGAUCCUUGGUUCGGAGGUGCGCGGCGCCGACGAUGACAACCUUUCUAUCGACGCAAGGGCAGCAGGACCUCAUGACGCUGUUGAUGCCACCACCAUGCACAGGGUUGAUGCAAGUGCGAUCACUAAUGGGGAGAACAUAAAACUUCAAUUGAGGGCACUGUGAUUCUCUAGCUACAUGUAUCAUAGCUUCUGCAGGAGGGCGUCACCUGCGGCAUCACUUGCAUCGACCUCUCACCGAUCACCGUCCCGAGGAUGCACGACAGACUGGCGGAGCAGGGCACCAGUGAUUGUUUCACCAAUUUGCUCGACUCAUUGUUCCCUUCCUCUGUCCACGCAAUGUUGCCCAUUGUUGCUAAGUUGUUAAUUCAUCAGGCCCAUUAUUGCGGCUACAUAGUCUGUUCAUCUUGCCUGCCUUCUUAGGAGAAACCAAUUUACUGAAGGUUGGCAAUUCCGAAGUUAUUGCCUUUCUACUUCAAACUGAAAUAAUUCCUCUUUGUCUUUAAUAUGGAGAUGGGCACUGAACUUUAAAAAACAGUAUGAACUCAACCCCUUCUGUAAAUCAAAUAUUUCAUUUGCGGGGACGACGUGGGGCUCAUGUCGAGCACUUCAUCUGCAAUGGGUGUGGCCUUCUCCGUCUGCCAAACAUGCUACAAGUACGAGCACCAUGAGGGAACUGCCUGGAGUGCAAGACCCGCCACAAGCUCCUCAAGGGUCAGUCAGCCUCCACCCACGGCCGAAGGCACUUGCAGAUGUGAAGAAUAUCCAUGUCCGAUUACAUCGCCAGGAAGCAAAAACCAUGAGAGCCCACACUAAUCAUCAAGGACUAUUUACAUGCCUAUAAUUAGGCCCACCAGUUUGGAUGGCAAACAAUUGCAGCUGCGAAGAAUAGGAUAUCUUCUCGAUCUCAGGGAUUUUUGAAACGAGCAGAAGAUUAGUAACUUCUACGACAUCAAAGAUCUGACCUUUUAGAGUAUGCACCAUAUUGAUUUACUUAUUGAUUUGUUCACACUAUAUCAGAUUUGUCUUGAACGUGAUACUUUAUUGACUGUACUGGACAUGGGAAGUUAACUGUUUUAAUUAUAUAGGAUUAGUCUGCACCAAUUGCUGCAUAAGUUCUCCUUGAUACCAAUUUACAUACUUGUGCUACUAGGCCUUUGGUCAGUUUGCAACUGGUAUUUUAGACAUGUACGAGUAUUCUCAUGGUAUUUCUAUAUGUUUUAAUUAGUACCAGAUGGAAUUUGCGAAUUAGUCUUACAAAGAGAAGAGAAAAGGAAACAUUAUUCACGAGUUUGCAGGAAUAUGGAAACUCAAGGUAGUCUGUUAGCAUAAGUAAAAAAUGUUUUUCAUUUUAUUUCUUGGUUCGACCAAAUUAUAUUUUAUCCGAACGUAUGGAUGAUCGACACAAUGGACGUACGUAGUUUCUGGUUAGCACUACUCGGAUAACAAUUAUGCCUACUAAUAUCAUUUUUGUGCAUUGUUUGGUCUUAUGCAUUUUAGUUAAAUACAUCCUUUGUGACGAAUAAUGAUUUUUGAGCAUACUAUCUUCUUUUCAUGUGGGGAGAUCGCUGAUAGAAAAGAAAAUUGUGUUUCUGAUAGGUUAUGCUUAUUUCUAAGUGCUUCCAAUUUCGAACUACUAGGUAUGCAGCCUUAGAUGAACAACUACCUCUUUAUUUGCUUGAGGAUGGUUUGAUUGUGCAAUUAAGACUACAUAAUUUCACUUUUCAUUUAUAUUUAUUGGUGAGGGCGAGCUGGCAGCGGCAUGGCGCGCUGGUGCGCGUGACCGCGGGUUUGGCCAGGGUGCGAGCCGAUCUGGCAUGUGCGCUGGCGAAGUAAGGCGUAGAGGUGCUCCGGCCGGCUGGGUGCGUUGGUCCGUGGCGGAGGUGCGAGGUGGGCGUGGAUCUGGCGCCUAGCAUGCGCGAGGGAGGACAUAUGGGCGUUGUGCGUUUCUUCGCGGCGGGUGGUGUGACUGUGCUGCUCUGCAGAUUGAUGACGUUGUUCUCCUGGUUUCGUGGAUCUGCAGCGGGGUAGCCGGUGGUUGCGGCGCCAGAGAAUGCUGGGGCAGCGGCCUCGGGCUGAUGGCUGCUAUGGUAGGGGCUGCUGCACUGGCUCAGGAUGGUGGAUUUGGAGCGAUGCACUCAGAUCUGACCCUGGCAACCGCGUUGUUUCUAUGUCGCAUGAGUUGCUGCAGCUGGUCGUCGCGUGAGGGCUAUGCCGGCUGACGGCAGGGGGGUGCCCUACACAAUGUGCUUGGCUCUGAUGGUCUGGGUAUCGUUGCGUGACCAGAUUUGCAAGCAAGCUCACUGAUAGGAGAUCAGGGACUCGGGCGAAAGCUCCGUGACCUUCUUAGAGGCAUAGUCGUAGACAUCUUCCUAUCCUUUCAUGUGCUUGGGUUCUCCGGGUGAGAACCUAAACUCCAGUUUUCUGGAGUGGGUGGCGGCGGCGUUUACGUCGUAACCAUCUUCAGAGGCGUUGCCUUGGAGGGCCAGCCUUUGGAUGUCGUGUGGGGCUCUUUCGUUUUCAAGGGAGGUGUAUGUCGGGGCUGCGGCUCCGGGAUCUUCUAUUAAGUGUCGAGGCUGCGGCCUCGGGCAGUACUGCGACGACAGCUCCAAGAGGUAGGGAUGCUUGUCGGCAUGGCUUGGGUGAGCACCUUGAAGUGCGGAAGCAGCAAGGUUGUCAGCUCCGUCAAUGCGCCCCAGUCGGGACUGUUGGACGACAUGUUGGGGCAGCGGCCCAGGAUGUGGUGCAGCGUUCGUGGUCUAUGUGCGGUUGGCCUGAGCAGCGUGAGCUGCGGGUAGCUGUAUCGUUCGGCGUAGUGCCGGCCAGGUUGUCGCUCAUCCAGGUUGCCGACCGGGAAGAGGUGUAGUGCCGGCCAAGACGAGAACAAGGGGAAGCUGCUUGGUUGUCUGUGUUCAUCAAAGGUGCUCUCUCUUUUCCAUCUUUCUUUUUAUUUACUUAAUCCUAGAUGGGUGACUACUAAUUUCCAUGUCUACUGGGAGGAAGAAGGUUGGCGGACGUAUCUUUGUGACUAUGUCAUUCACGUGCUUUGUUUCAACUCAUAAAGUGGAUCCUUUUUAAGCUAUAUCAAAUCAUAAGACAUAAUUUUCAGUUGAUUUUUUUCUUCUAAUUCCCAGUUUAUUGCUUCACAUAGACUAUUACAUAUUUAUGCUAGCCAAUUCGAAGCUUUGUCCCAAGGGCAAGCAUACCGUUGAAAAAAUAAAUACAUGUACGACAGAUCAGCCAGCAACUUGUUGAUCUGUGAUUCUUUGAAAUUUGAUGCUUAUAACUGUUUAUAAGUCAGUAUUGUUCAGAGCCAAAGAUAAGUAACAAUCUAUUUGGUUAAGUUGAACACUUUCAGAUCAGGAGUAGUAGAAAUUCUUAAGGGCAUUGGGAUAUUGAACUGCAGAUAGCUUCGGCAGGUUUGUUAGGCUAAUAUAAAGUAGGGACCUUUGCUACAUAAUGAUACAAAGAUGAUACCGAAGGUUGUUUUGCAACUAGCAAGUUUCAAGGUCACAUGGAUGCUGACAGCUCUCAGGUGUAUGGCCUAUUUGUUGCUGGGUAUUGUUGCCUUUCUUCCUGCGGAGGAUCCUGAGUUGAUGCAUAUAUUGGCUCAAAAAGUAACUAGGCUCUGAAGUGCAGAUUGACAAGAGCCAUCCAGGGGGCCAGGGCGAUUAGAUGCCCAUCACUCACGGCGGCAAGAAGUUCCGUGUCGAGUUGAUGAACCAGCACCAGCUGGGAGCCCGGAUGAAGAAGGUUGUCCCCGCGGAGAAAAAGGAGAAGUGAUGAGAUGUUUUUGACAGCUAAUGGAUGAUCUUAUCUUACUCUGUGAAUUUUUGUUUUGGUCGAUUUAGAAACCUUGUUUGAUGUCUGAAGAUCCCUUUUUGCCCACUGUUCAAACCAUCUCUUCAUUUUUGUGUAAAUGGUAACAAUACACUUCAAACAAUUAAGUUGUCAUCCCAAAAAAUAUUUUGUAAAAGGAUGUACUUAUCGCCUCAAUAAUCC
This 4915-nucleotide ribosomal RNA is filed under the name Triticum aestivum (bread wheat). RNAcentral's name for it is "partial small subunit ribosomal RNA". Lineage: Eukaryota; Viridiplantae; Streptophyta; Magnoliopsida; Poales; Poaceae. The record is from RNAcentral.